UACAGAGGGGGCAAGCGUUAUUUGGAAUUAUUGGGCGUAAAGGGCGCGUAGGCGGCUUUGCAAGUGACGGGUGAAAGCCCUCGGCUUAACCGAGGAACGGCCGUCCAAACUGCUUCGCUUGAGACCGGGAGAGGUGAGUGGAAUUCCCAGUGUAGCGGUGAAAUGCGUAGAUAUUGGGAGGAACACCAGUGGCGAAGGCGGCUCACUGGACCGGUACUGACGCUGAAGCGCGAAAGCGUGGGGAGCAAACGGG
This 253-nucleotide ribosomal RNA is filed under the name uncultured bacterium. RNAcentral describes it as "partial 16S ribosomal RNA". It matches the Rfam family "Bacterial small subunit ribosomal RNA", at positions 524 to 776 of the family's 1533-position model. The record is from RNAcentral.